This 18-nucleotide ribosomal RNA is filed under the name Beauveria bassiana. RNAcentral describes it as "partial 28S ribosomal RNA". Lineage: Eukaryota; Fungi; Ascomycota; Sordariomycetes; Hypocreales; Cordycipitaceae. The record is from RNAcentral.
GUGACCUCGAAUCAGGUA